This 508-nucleotide ribosomal RNA is filed under the name uncultured bacterium. Its description in RNAcentral is "bacterial SSU rRNA". It matches the Rfam family "Bacterial small subunit ribosomal RNA", at positions 21 to 518 of the family's 1533-position model. The record is from RNAcentral.
GGCUCAGGACGAACGCUGGCGGCGCGCCUAACACAUGCAAGUCGAACGGGACUAGUGACCGGAGUGCAGAGUAAGUCUGCGUUGCGAUCACUAGUUCAGUGGCGGACGGGUGAGUAAAGCAUGAGCAACCUGGCUACUAGAGGGGGAUAGCUUUUGGAAACAGAAGAUAAUACCGCAUACAUCAGAGAUUUCGCAUGAAGUUUUUGGAAAAGGAGCAAUCCGCUAAUAGAUGGGCUCAUGUCCGAUUAGCUAGUUGGUAGGGUAAAGGCCUACCAAGGCGACGAUCGGUAGCCGUACUGAGAGGUUCAACGGCCACAUUGGGACUGAGACACGGCCCAGACUCCUACGGGAGGCAGCAGUGAGGAAUAUUGCGCAAUGGAAGGAAACUCUGACGCAGCGACGCCGCGUGAGGGAAGAAGGUUUUCGAAUUGUAAACCUCUGUCCUCAGGGAAGAAAAAAUGACGGUACCUGGGGAGGAAGCCCCGGCUAACUACGUGCCAGCCGCAGC